This 510-nucleotide ribosomal RNA is filed under the name uncultured Glomus. RNAcentral describes it as "SSU rRNA". It matches the Rfam family "Eukaryotic small subunit ribosomal RNA", at positions 569 to 1081 of the family's 1831-position model. The record is from RNAcentral. Lineage: Eukaryota; Fungi; Glomeromycota; Glomeromycetes; Glomerales; Glomeraceae.
AGCAGCCGCGGUAAUUCCAGCUCCAAUAGCGUAUAUUAAAGUUGUUGCAGUUAAAAAGCUCGUAGUUGAAUUUCGGGGUCAGUAGAUUGGUCGUGCCACUGGUAUGAACUGGUCUUACUGAUUCCUCCUUCUUGACGAACUGUGAUGUCAUUAAUUUGGUGUUGCAGGGAAUCAGGACUGUUACUUUGAAAAAUUAGAGUGUUUAAAGCAAGCUAACGCUUGAAUACAUUAGCAUGGAAUAAUGAAAUAGGACGCUUGAUCCUAUUUUGUUGGUUUCUAGGAUCGACGUAAUGAUUAAUAGGGAUAGUUGGGGGCAUUAGUAUUCAAUUGUCAGAGGUGAAAUUCUUGGAUUUAUUGAAGACUAACUACUGCGAAAGCAUUUGCCAAGGAUGUUUUCAUUAAUCAAGAACGAAAGUUAGGGGAUCGAAGACGAUCAGAUACCGUCGUAGUCUUAACCAUAAACUAUGCCGACUAGGGAUCGGAUGAUGUUAAUUUUUAAUGUACUCAUUC